AGCGGAAGGCCCUUCGGGGUACUCGAGCGGCGAACGGGUGAGUAACACGUGAGCAACCUGCCCCAAGCUUUGGGAUAACCCCGGGAAACCGGGGCUAAUACCGAAUAGGACCUGGCCUCGCAUGGGGCUUGGUGGAAAGUUUUUCGGCUUGGGAUGGGCUCGCGGCCUAUCAGCUUGUUGGUGGGGUGAUGGCCUACCAAGGCGACGACGGGUAGCCGGCCUGAGAGGGCGACCGGCCACACUGGGACUGAGACACGGCCCAGACUCCUACGGGAGGCAGCAGUGGGGAAUAUUGCACAAUGGGCGGAAGCCUGAUGCAGCGACGCCGCGUGAGGGAUGACGGCCUUCGGGUUGUAAACCUCUUUCAGCAGGGACGAAGCGGAAGUGACGGUACCUGCAGAAGAAGCACCGGCCAACUACGUGCCAGCAGCCGCGGUAAGACGUAGGGUGCGAGCGUUGUCCGGAUUUAUUGGGCGUAAAGAGCUCGUAGGCGGCUUGUCGCGUCGACUGUGAAAACCCGCAGCUCAACUGCGGGCCUGCAGUCGAUACGGGCAGGCUAGAGUUCGGUAGGGGAGACUGGAAUUCCUGGUGUAGCGGUGAAAUGCGCAGAUAUCAGGAGGAACACCGAUGGCGAAGGCAGGUCUCUGGGCCGAUACUGACGCUGAGGAGCGAAAGCGUGGGGAGCGAACAGGAUUAGAUACCCUGGUAGUCCACGCUGUAAACGUUGGGCGCUAGGUGU
RNAcentral lists this ribosomal RNA (739 nucleotides) under Micromonospora sp. RNAcentral's name for it is "bacterial SSU rRNA". It matches the Rfam family "Bacterial small subunit ribosomal RNA", at positions 65 to 823 of the family's 1533-position model. Lineage: Bacteria; Bacillati; Actinomycetota; Actinomycetes; Micromonosporales; Micromonosporaceae. The record is from RNAcentral.